Molecule: unclassified non-coding RNA, 343 nt
Filed under: soil metagenome
Description: partial contains 5.8S ribosomal RNA, internal transcribed spacer 2, and large subunit ribosomal RNA
Rfam family: 5.8S ribosomal RNA (bases 1-120)
Source: RNAcentral
GAUGAAGAACGCAGCGAAAUGCGAUACGUAAUGUGAAUUGCAGAAUUCAGUGAAUCAUCGAGUCUUUGAACGCACAUUGCGCCCCCUGGUAUUCCGGGGGGCAUGCCUGUCCGAGCGUCAUUGCUGCCCUCAAGCACGGCUUGUGUGUUGGGCCUCCGUCCUCCUCCCGGGGGACGGGCCCGAAAGGCAGCGGCGGCACCGCGUCCGGUCCUCGAGCGUAUGGGGCUUCGUCACCCGCUCUUGUAGGCCCGGCCGGCGCUUGCCGACACAUCAAUCUUUUUUCCAGGUUGACCUCGGAUCAGGUAGGGAUACCCGCUGAACUUAAGCAUAUCAAUAGCGGAGG